AUUGAACGCUGGCGGCAUGCCUAACACAUGCAAGUCGAACGAGUGGCGGACGGGUGAGUAAUGUCUGGGAAACUGCCUGGUGGAGGGGGAUAACUACUGGAAACGGUAGCUAAUACCGCAUACCAUCGGAUGUGCCCAGAUGGGAUUAGCUAGUAGGUGGGGUAACGGCUCACCUAGGCGACGAUCCCUAGCUGGUUGGAGAGGAUGACCAGCCACACUGGAACUGAGACACGGUCCAGACUCCUACGGGAGGCAGCAGUGGGGAAUAUUGCACAAUGGGGGAAAGCCUGAUGCAGCCAUGCCGCGUGUAUGAAGAAGGCCUUCGGGUUGUAAAGUACUUUCGGCGGGGAGGCGGUACCCGCAGAAGAAGCACCGGCUAACUACGUGCCAGCAGCCGCGGUAAUAC
RNAcentral lists this ribosomal RNA (406 nucleotides) under uncultured bacterium. RNAcentral's name for it is "partial 16S ribosomal RNA". It matches the Rfam family "Bacterial small subunit ribosomal RNA", at positions 30 to 526 of the family's 1533-position model. The record is from RNAcentral.